AUACUAAUCUGGCAGGGGAGAUGGCAUGAUAUCGAAGAUGGUUUUCCCAGGGGAAGACUUACUCAAUGUGCUCCAAAUGUGCUGACCCUGCAUUUUCCACAAAUGGGGAAAACUCAGCGACACAAUUUAUGGCAGCGAGGGGCUUCGUUCACAUUCUUCCUUG
This is a small nuclear RNA of Rattus norvegicus (Norway rat), 163 nucleotides long. Ensembl annotates it as U1 spliceosomal RNA. The record is from Ensembl. Lineage: Eukaryota; Metazoa; Chordata; Mammalia; Rodentia; Muridae.